This is a non-coding RNA of Dipodomys ordii (Ord's kangaroo rat), 65 nucleotides long. The record is from Rfam. NCBI's taxonomy places the organism in Eukaryota, Metazoa, Chordata, Mammalia, Rodentia, Heteromyidae.
GGUGGCUCAGUGGUAGAGCACUUGCCUUGCAUGCAUGAGGCCCUCGGUUUGAUUCCUCGGCACCA